This 540-nucleotide ribosomal RNA is filed under the name uncultured bacterium. RNAcentral's name for it is "bacterial SSU rRNA". It matches the Rfam family "Bacterial small subunit ribosomal RNA", at positions 45 to 631 of the family's 1533-position model. The record is from RNAcentral.
GGCCUACUCAUGCAAGUCGAACGCUGUAGCAAUACAGAGUGGCAGACGGGUGUGUAACGCGUGGGGACGUGCCUUUCGGUUCGGAAUAUACUCAGGGAUACUUGAGCUAAUCCCGGAUACGCCCUUUGGGGGAAAGAUUUAUUGCCGAAAGAUCGGCCCGCGUCCGAUUAGCUAGUUGGUGUGGUAAUGGCGCACCAAGGCGACGAUCGGUAGCUGGUCUGAGAGGAUGAUCAGCCACACUGGGACUGAGACACGGCCCAGACUCCUACGGGAGGCAGCAGUGGGGAAUAUUGGACAAUGGGCGCAAGCCUGAUCCAGCCAUGCCGCGUGAGUGAUGAAGGCCCUAGGGGUGUAAGCUCUUUCGCCAGGGACGAUAAUGACGGUACCCUGGAUAAGAAGCCCCGGCUAACUUCGUGCCAGCAGCCGCGGUAAUACGAAGGGGGCUAGCGUUGUUCGGAAUCACUGGGCGUCAAGCGCACGUAGGCGGAUCUUUAAGUCAGGGGUGAAAUCCCGAGGCUCAACCUCGGAACUGCCUUUGAU